GGGUGGAGGCCGGAUCCUGGGAUGUGUCCCGGUGCCCGGGGCUCCUGGCCCUGCGCUGUUCGAUUUGUGUUCCCGGCCGCGCAGCUGCCU
RNAcentral lists this microRNA precursor (90 nucleotides) under Canis lupus familiaris (dog). Its description in RNAcentral is "mir-8799 microRNA precursor family". It matches the Rfam family "mir-8799 microRNA precursor family". Lineage: Eukaryota; Metazoa; Chordata; Mammalia; Carnivora; Canidae. The record is from Rfam by way of RNAcentral. RNAcentral also lists the same sequence under 1 other name.